This 65-nucleotide transfer RNA is filed under the name Gynaikothrips ficorum. RNAcentral describes it as "tRNA-Thr". Lineage: Eukaryota; Metazoa; Arthropoda; Insecta; Thysanoptera; Phlaeothripidae. The record is from RNAcentral.
AUUUAUAUAAUUUAAUAAAAAUAUUAAUUUUGUAAAUUAAUUAUACUAAUAUCUAGUUAUAAAUA